GAUGAACGCUGGCGGCGUGCUUAACACAUGCAAGUCGAACGGUGAAAGAGAGCUUGCUCUCUGGAUCAGUGGCGAACGGGUGAGUAACACGUGAGCAAUCUGCCCCUGACUCUGGGAUAAGCGCUGGAAACGGCGUCUAAUACCGGAUACGAGCUGCGAAGGCAUCUUCAGCAGCUGGAAAGAACUUCGGUCAGGGAUGAGCUCGCGGCCUAUCAGCUAGUUGGUGAGGUAACGGCUCACCAAGGCGUCGACGGGUAGCCGGCCUGAGAGGGUGACCGGCCACAAUGGGACUGAGACACGGCCCAGACUCCUACGGGAGGCAGCAGUGGGGAAUAUUGCACAGUGGGCGAAAGCCUGAUGCAGCAACGCCGCGUGAGGGACGACGGCCUUCGGGUUGUAAACCUCUUUUAGCAGGGAAGAAGCGAAAGUGACGGUACCUGCAGAAAAAGCACCGGCUAACUACGUG
Molecule: ribosomal RNA, 466 nt
Filed under: uncultured bacterium
Lineage: Bacteria
Description: partial 16S ribosomal RNA
Rfam family: Bacterial small subunit ribosomal RNA
Source: RNAcentral